CUCAGCUUAAUCCGCCGUCGUUGGUUCAAACGACGGUCGUAUUGAUCUUCGCUGAUUGGAUCUUUAUAAUCCGUACAAACUCCCGGAGCUCUUGGCCUAUCAAUGUCCGGGAUUGAUGGAGCUAUCCAAACCAGCUGCUCUGUUACGCACCUCUGGAACCACGGCGAUAAGCAAAGGCGUCGAAUUGACUCAUCACGGGAACUUCAUUACUUUGCUGUUAUUUCCAAGCAAAGGAUUGUGAAAAAGUUUCUCGAUUGAAGAGGUAGCUAGUAAAGUUCCAAUUGCAUUUCUUUGAUGCAUUAACAAAGCAUUCAGAUUUGAGGUCUCAUUCAGCGAGUAGAUUCCUAUGAGUUUGAUCC
Molecule: unclassified non-coding RNA, 359 nt
Filed under: Arabidopsis thaliana (thale cress)
Lineage: Eukaryota; Viridiplantae; Streptophyta; Magnoliopsida; Brassicales; Brassicaceae
Source: RNAcentral